RNAcentral lists this ribosomal RNA (497 nucleotides) under uncultured bacterium. RNAcentral describes it as "partial 16S ribosomal RNA". It matches the Rfam family "Bacterial small subunit ribosomal RNA", at positions 28 to 507 of the family's 1533-position model. The record is from RNAcentral.
GACGAACGCUGGCGGCGUGCCUAAUACAUGCAAGUUGAGCGAUGAAGAUUGGUGCUUGCCCCAAUUUGAAGAGCAGCGCACGGGUGAGUAACGCGUGGGGAAUCUGCCUUUGAGCGGGGGACAACAUUUGGAAACGAAUGCUAAUACCGCAUAACAACUUUAAACAUAAGUUUUAAGUUUGAAAGAUGCAAUUGCAUCACUCAAAGAUGAUCCCGCGUUGUAUUAGCUAGUUGGUGAGGUAAAGGCUCACCAAGGCGAUGAUACAUAGCCGACCUGAGAGGGUGAUCGGCCACAUUGGGACUGAGACACGGCCCAAACUCCUACGGGAGGCAGCAGUAGGGAAUCUUCGGCAAUGGACGAAAGUCUGACCGAGCAACGCCGCGUGAGUGAAGAAGGGUUUCGGAUCGUAAAACUCUGUUGGUAGAGAAGAACGUUGGUGAGAGUGGAAAGCUCAUCAAGUGACGGUAACUACCCAGAAAGGGACGGCUAACUACGUG